RNAcentral lists this transfer RNA (85 nucleotides) under Candidatus Aminicenantota bacterium. Its description in RNAcentral is "Candidatus Aminicenantes bacterium tRNA-Leu". It matches the Rfam family "tRNA". From Rfam's summary of the family: Transfer RNA (tRNA) molecules are approximately 80 nucleotides in length. RNAcentral also lists the same sequence under 1 other name. The record is from RNAcentral. Lineage: Bacteria; Candidatus Aminicenantota.
GCCGGGGUGGCGGAAUUGGCAGACGCACGGGACUUAAAAUCCCGGGGGCCAAAAGCCCGUGGGGGUUCGAUUCCCCCCUCCGGCA